GGACGACGCUGGCGGCGUGCUUAACACAUGCAAGUCGAGCGAUGAAGUUCUUCGGAAAUGGAUUAGCGGCGAACGGGUGAGGAACACGUGAAGAAUCUGCCCUCCACUUUGGGAUAACACCGGGAAACCGGUGCUAAUACCGAAUAUUGAAACAUAAGUGGCAUCACUGAGUUUUGAAAGAAUUUCGGUGGAGGAUGACUUCGCGGCCUAUCAGCUAGUUGGUGAGGUAAUGGCUCACCAAGGCAACGACGGGUAGCCGGCCUGAGAGGUCAAUCCCCCACACUGGCACUGAGAUACGGGCCAGACUCCUACGGGAGGCAGCAGUAGGGAAUAUUGGGCAAUGGACGCAAGUCUGACCCAGCCAUGCCGCGUGCAGGAUGAAGGCGUUAUGCGUUGUAAACUGCUUUUAUUUGGGAAUAAACCUCUUUACGUGUAGAGAGCUGAAGGUACCAAAUGAAUAAGCACCGGCUAACUCCGUG
RNAcentral lists this ribosomal RNA (479 nucleotides) under uncultured bacterium. RNAcentral describes it as "bacterial SSU rRNA". It matches the Rfam family "Bacterial small subunit ribosomal RNA", at positions 32 to 507 of the family's 1533-position model. The record is from RNAcentral.